Molecule: ribosomal RNA, 458 nt
Filed under: uncultured bacterium
Lineage: Bacteria
Description: partial 16S ribosomal RNA
Rfam family: Bacterial small subunit ribosomal RNA
Source: RNAcentral
CCUACGGGUGGCAGCAGUGAGGAAUAUUGGUCAAUGGCCGGGAGGCUGAACCAGCCAAGUCGCGUGAGGGAAGACGGCCCUACGGGUUGUAAACCUCUUUUGUCAGGGAGCAAGGUGCAGGUCGGGACCUGCUGUGAGAGUACCUGAAGAAAAAGCAUCGGCUAACUCCGUGCCAGCAGCCGCGGUAAUACGGAGGAUGCGAGCGUUAUCCGGAGUUAUUGGGUUUAAAGGGUGCGCAGGCGGAGGCACAAGUCAGCGGUAAAUCGCGGGGCUCAACCCCGCUCCGCCGUUGAAACUGUGUGCCUUGAGUGCGCGAAGGGUAGGCGGAAUGCGUGGUGUAGCGGUGAAAUGCAUAGAUAUCACGCAGAACUCCGAUCGCGAAGGCAGCCUACCGGCGCGCAACUGACGCUCAUGCACGAAAGCGUGGGCAUCGAACAGGAUUAGAUACCCGGGUAGUC